ACGGAAGGCAGCAGUCGGGAAUAUUGGACAAUGGAGGGAACUCUGAUCCAGUGACGCCGCGUGAAGGAAGAAGGUCUUCGGAUUGUAAACUUAUUUUACCAGGGACGAAGAAUGACGGUACCUGGAGAAAAAGCAACGGCUAACUACGUGCCAGCAGCCGCGGUAAUACGUAGGUUGCAAGCGUUGUCCGGAUUUACUGGGUGUAAAGGGCGUGUAGGCGGAGCUGCAAGUCAGAUGUGAAAUCCCGGGGCUCAACCCCGGAACUGCAUUUGAAACUGUAGCCCUUGAGUAUCGGAGAGGCAAGCGGAAUUCCUAGUGUAGCGGUGAAAUGCGUAGAUAUUAGGAGGAACACCAGUGGCGAAGGCGGCUUGCUGGACGACAACUGACGCUGAGGCGCGAAAGCGUGGGGAGCAAACAGGAUUAGAUACCCUGGUA
RNAcentral lists this ribosomal RNA (435 nucleotides) under uncultured Pseudoflavonifractor sp. Its description in RNAcentral is "partial 16S ribosomal RNA". It matches the Rfam family "Bacterial small subunit ribosomal RNA", at positions 341 to 792 of the family's 1533-position model. The record is from RNAcentral. Lineage: Bacteria; Bacillati; Bacillota; Clostridia; Eubacteriales; Oscillospiraceae.